UUUUCAUCACUACACGUACCUACUAUGUAAUUUUAAGUUGAAGUAAGUAUAACCGGUAAAACCAGGAACUAUAUAUCUUACCUAUAGAGAACAAACUUGUCACUAUAUUGUUACAAAAUGUAAAAACCUCCAAGCAAACUAUUACUGAAUACAAUGAAGAAUUCAAGUUGGAAAUAGGUAGUUUCUUUAUCCCACACCUCAAUAUUAUUAUGGAAUACAUAUUUGGGGUCAGAAGAGGAUCCUUUUUUUUUCCUUCUAAUUUUUGUUGGUGAUCACUUUUUAUACUUUAUAUGAAAUUUUUGGGGGUUCUAAUAUUGCAGCUCCUACGUUUUGUCAAGGUCUCACAAUUGCUUCAGUAACUCAAUAAAUUAAAGCUCUUGCAGAAAGGAAGUAACUCGGAAGAACAGAAAUCAUCCAACACAAUCGAAUUAAAGGCAAAUCAGAAGAGAUUUUGCAGCACCAUAAUUUACAGAAGAAAAAUCAGACAAUGAGCGAAAAAUGCAUAAUUCUACCUUUUUGUUUGUUUGCAAAAGAGAACCUUGAAGAGUAUUUAUUUGAGUGAACACAUAAUGAAUGUGGUGUUUUCC
This 587-nucleotide long non-coding RNA is filed under the name Solanum tuberosum (potato). RNAcentral's name for it is "long non-coding RNA (STUB_LNC003426)". Lineage: Eukaryota; Viridiplantae; Streptophyta; Magnoliopsida; Solanales; Solanaceae. The record is from RNAcentral.